This 220-nucleotide ribosomal RNA is filed under the name uncultured bacterium. RNAcentral describes it as "partial 16S ribosomal RNA". It matches the Rfam family "Bacterial small subunit ribosomal RNA", at positions 57 to 305 of the family's 1533-position model. The record is from RNAcentral.
GCAAGUCGAGCGAGACCUUCGGGUCUAGCGGCGGACGGGUGAGUAACACGUGGGAACAUGCCCUUCACUGCGGAAUAACCAUUGGAAACGAUAACUAAUACCGCAUACGCCCUUCGGGGGAAAGAUUUAUCGGUGAAGGAUUGGCCCGCGUUGGAUUAGGUAGUUGGUGGGGUAAUGGCCUACCAAGCCUACGAUCCAUAGCUGGUUUUAGAGGAUGAUC